RNAcentral lists this ribosomal RNA (405 nucleotides) under uncultured bacterium. Its description in RNAcentral is "partial 16S ribosomal RNA". It matches the Rfam family "Bacterial small subunit ribosomal RNA", at positions 30 to 526 of the family's 1533-position model. The record is from RNAcentral.
AUUGAACGCUGGCGGCAGGCUUAACACAUGCACGUCGAACGAGUGGCGGACGGGUGAGUAAUGCAUGGGAAUCUUGAUUAUGGAGGGGGAUAACUACGGGAAACUUUAGCUAAUACCGCGUACCUUAGGAUGAGCCAAAGUGGGAUUAGGGAGGUGGUGAGGUAAAGGCUCACCAAGCCGACGAUCUUUAGCUGGUCUGAGAGGAUGAACAGCCACACUGGGACUGAGAGACGGCCCAGACUCAUACGGGAGGCAGCAGUGGGGAAUAUUGCGCAAUGGGGGCAACCUGAUGCAGCCAUGCCGCGUGAAUGAAGAAGGCCUGCGGGUUGAAAAGUUCUUUCGGUAGCGAGGCGUUAACUACAGAAGAAGCACCGGCUCACUCCGUGCCAGCAGCCGCGGUAAUUC